CUCUUCUUCUUCCCUUGGGUCCAGCUUGUCGGCCGUUAGGGGGCCCUUUGAUUCGUCGCUUCGUGCAGAGAUCUGAAAGCAUCAUCGGGCGAGGCGUUGAUCUCCGCGCAUCUUCCCGACGCCAUUUUUGGUCGGGAACCGAACCAGGAGAUGAUACGUGGAAACUAUCGCUUUGAGGGCGUUUAGUCCGGGUCUUCCAAGUAUGGCGUUGUAGGCUGAGGGCACUUGGACGA
RNAcentral lists this long non-coding RNA (233 nucleotides) under Elaeis guineensis (African oil palm). Its description in RNAcentral is "long non-coding RNA (EGUI_LNC010410)". Lineage: Eukaryota; Viridiplantae; Streptophyta; Magnoliopsida; Arecales; Arecaceae. The record is from RNAcentral.